This 362-nucleotide ribosomal RNA is filed under the name uncultured bacterium. RNAcentral describes it as "bacterial SSU rRNA". It matches the Rfam family "Bacterial small subunit ribosomal RNA", at positions 29 to 377 of the family's 1533-position model. The record is from RNAcentral.
AACGAACGCUGGCGGCGUGGAUAAGACAUGCAAGUCGAACGAGGUUACUUCUGUAGCAAUACAGGAGUGGCUUAGUGGCGCAAGGGUGCGUAACACGUGGGCAACCUGCCCUGGGGUGUGGGAUAGCCCGCCGAAAGGCGGAUUAAUACCGCAUGUGGCUACCAAAUGCAUAUUUGGGACGCUAAAGGUGGCGCAAGCUACCGCUCCGGGAUGGGCCCGCGGCCCAUCAGCAGUUGGCGGGGUAACGGCCCACCAAGGCUAUGACGGGUAGCUGGUCUGAGAGGACGACCAGCCACACUGGAACUGAGACACGGUCCAGACACCUACGGGUGGCAGCAGUCGAGAAUUUUUCUCAAUGGGGG